GGAGCGUGGCUAUGCACUGUUAUGUUCCGCCUAUCCCUGAUCAGAUUGUACUAUUAAAACCAUUCCUGAGGAUGAACUGCUGUCUCUGCAACUAGCAUCUGCUAAUGACUGAAAGGUUCCAUAGCAACGAAACAACAGACGGUUGUUGGGCAACUACUGAGUGACCUGGUGCCUGCAACACGCAAAUUGAAAAGAUGGGAACGUAAAUGUGAAGAUCCA
This is a long non-coding RNA of Mangifera indica (mango), 219 nucleotides long. RefSeq lists it as uncharacterized. The record is from RefSeq and is a predicted model, not a curated record. The transcript is spliced from 2 exons. NCBI's taxonomy places the organism in Eukaryota, Viridiplantae, Streptophyta, Magnoliopsida, Sapindales, Anacardiaceae.